RNAcentral lists this ribosomal RNA (915 nucleotides) under Candidatus Phytoplasma asteris-related phytoplasma. RNAcentral's name for it is "bacterial SSU rRNA". The record is from RNAcentral. Lineage: Bacteria; Bacillati; Mycoplasmatota; Mollicutes; Acholeplasmatales; Acholeplasmataceae.
CUUAGGGAGGAGCUUGCGUCACAUUAGUUAGUUGGUGGGGUAAAGGCCUACCAAGACUAUGAUGUGUAGCCGGGCUGAGAGGUUGAACGGCCACAUUGGGACUGAGACACGGCCCAAACUCCUACGGGAGGCAGCAGUAGGGAAUUUUCGGCAAUGGAGGAAACUCUGACCGAGCAACGCCGCGUGAACGAUGAAGUAUUUCGGUACGUAAAGUUCUUUUAUUAGGGAAGAAUAAAUGAUGGAAAAAUCAUUCUGACGGUACCUNAUGAAUAAGCCCCGGCUAACUAUGUGCCAGCAGCCGCGGUAAUACAUAGGGGGCAAGCGUUAUCCGGAAUUAUUGGGCGUAAAGGGUGCGUAGGCGGUUAAAUAAGUUUAUGGUCUAAGUKCAAUGCUCAACAUUGUGAUGCUAUAAAAACUGUUUAGCUAGAGUAAGAUAGAGGCAAGUGGAAUUCCAUGUGUAGUGGUAAAAUGCGUAAAUAUAUGGAGGAACACCAGUAGCGAAGGCGGCUUGCUGGGUCUUUACUGACGCUGAGGCACGAAAGCGUGGGGAGCAAACAGGAUUAGAUACCCUGGUAGUCCACGCCGUAAACGAUGAGUACUAAACGUUGGGUAAAACCAGUGUUGAAGUUAACACAUUAAGUACUCCGCCUGAGUAGUACGUACGCAAGUAUGAAACUUAAAGGAAUUGACGGGACUCCGCACAAGCGGUGGAUCAUGUUGUUUAAUUCGAAGGUACCCGAAAAACCUCACCAGGUCUUGACAUGCUUCUGCAAAACUGUAGAAACACAGUGGAGGUUAUCAGUUGCACAGGUGGUGCAUGGUUGUCGUCAGCUCGUGUCGUGAGAUGUUGGGUUAAGUCCCGCAACGAGCGCAACCCUUAUUGUUAGUUACCAGCACGUAAUGGNGGGGACUUUA